This 196-nucleotide unclassified non-coding RNA is filed under the name uncultured fungus. Its description in RNAcentral is "sequence contains ITS2". Lineage: Eukaryota; Fungi. The record is from RNAcentral.
GCACUCUCACAUAUAACCUUUGGGUUAAAAUGUGGAAUUGGGAUGCGCGGGUUAUUAUAACGGCCCACCUAAAAUUCAGUUCUUGGCUGCUCCCUACUACAGCAGUUUGGCCUAAUAGUUUUGAGUCUUCGAUUCAAAUUUUUGGCUAACAUUUGCUUCAGGAUGUCAGUCUUGAUAUACAGAAAUCUCAUUCAAA